AAAGCUUUAGUUUAAUUAGAAUGAUUCAUUUACACUGAAUUGGUAUGAGCUUUU
Molecule: transfer RNA, 54 nt
Filed under: Rhabdias kafunata
Lineage: Eukaryota; Metazoa; Nematoda; Chromadorea; Rhabditida; Rhabdiasidae
Description: tRNA-Val
Source: RNAcentral